This 216-nucleotide long non-coding RNA is filed under the name Lathyrus oleraceus (garden pea). RNAcentral's name for it is "Pisum sativum (pea) long non-coding RNA (PSAT_LNC001642)". Lineage: Eukaryota; Viridiplantae; Streptophyta; Magnoliopsida; Fabales; Fabaceae. The record is from RNAcentral.
UUCUUCGAGCGCGAGCAAUGAUUCCUGUCACAAACAAGCACGUUAGUAAUAGACACCUGCAAAAUAAAGCACAGUUAUUAUGAUCAAUGCAUGGAUGCAGUGUCUAUCCAUAUGAAGGACACUUUGUCUCUUGAUCCUGGUAUCACUGAGACAAACAAUAAUCCGGCACUAAUAUUCAGUCAUUCAGCAUUUGAUUUUGUGGUGCAGAUCGGAGAU